RNAcentral lists this long non-coding RNA (333 nucleotides) under Helianthus annuus (common sunflower). RNAcentral describes it as "hypothetical non coding rna". The record is from RNAcentral. Lineage: Eukaryota; Viridiplantae; Streptophyta; Magnoliopsida; Asterales; Asteraceae.
UUGAUUAGGUUUCUUGAAAGAGAGAGAUCAAGAAUUUUCAAAUAUGUUUCAUUGAUGACCCAUCCAGAGAGGUUGCCUGCCUUUUCCAGAGCGUUUCUCCAUGAUUCAACUUUCUGCUUAUUUUUCCUCUCUUGUUUGGAAAAAGCCUUUCCAUAUUUCCCCUUUUGUUUUCUCACAUCCGAUGGAUCCACGUGAUAAAAUACGGGCAUCACAAAUUGCCCUCUGGUGUCCAUGCACUCCAUAAUAUGUUCAAGCUCGUCCAAGCACCAAGACGAGUCUGCAUAGUUUUCGGAGAAUACAACAAGGGCGAUGCGUGAUUCUUGGAUAGCUUUC